AUGGCGGUGGAGGUCGACAGCACCUGGAAGCGCGGGGCGGCGGCCUUCCUGGACGACCCCUUCGAGGUGCUGCAGGCGAAGCGGGGCCGGUGCUCACCGUCCGCCACCGCGGCCUCGGUUGCCGACCUCGGCAUCAACAUGCAGUUCGACCCCGUCGAGGCGCUCCAGUCCGUCUUCCCCGGCGCCGAUCCGCAGGUGACCCAGAAGUUCCCUUUCAUCAACAGUUACAGAGUGUUUAGAGUUCCGAGCUCUGUCGUCGUCGGCAGCCUUGUGAAAUGCCAACUGGUCGUCGCUUCUUUCAGUGCUGACGGGAAACACGUAGAUGUUACUGGACUGCAAUUACCCGGCAUGCUGGAUGACAUGUUUGCAUACACAGGACCGCUCGGUGCGAUUUUCAGCGAGGACUCUGUGAGCCUGCACCUUUGGGCUCCUACAACACAGGAUGUGAGUGUGUGGUUCUUAGAUGGUCCGCCGGCCCUGCUCUAG
RNAcentral lists this ribosomal RNA (486 nucleotides) under Triticum aestivum (bread wheat). Its description in RNAcentral is "partial small subunit ribosomal RNA". Lineage: Eukaryota; Viridiplantae; Streptophyta; Magnoliopsida; Poales; Poaceae. The record is from RNAcentral.